CUAUCAGUAUUCCCAGUGUGGUGAGUGAACAUGAGGUCUUCCUGCCCAGGCUCAUCACCCAGCGACGCUUCUCUAGUCACGCCACGGGCAGCGCCCAGCCUGAACCCAGCACCCGCAGCACCAUGCUGCCCAGCCACAGUGAACCCAAUGUGCUAGAUGAGUCUCAAGGACUGGAAGAGGGUAACCUGUCUAGGGUGGCCAGUGUGCAGAGUGAACCAGGCCAGCAGAACCUCUUGAACCAACCUCCGCUGGGACGCAAUAGAGGACUGAGACAG
Long non-coding RNA from Oncorhynchus masou masou (cherry salmon), 275 nucleotides. RefSeq lists it as uncharacterized. The transcript is spliced from 3 exons. Lineage: Eukaryota; Metazoa; Chordata; Actinopteri; Salmoniformes; Salmonidae. The record is from RefSeq and is a predicted model, not a curated record.